Molecule: non-coding RNA, 1149 nt
Organism: Chiloscyllium plagiosum (whitespotted bambooshark)
Lineage: Eukaryota; Metazoa; Chordata; Chondrichthyes; Orectolobiformes; Hemiscylliidae
Source: RefSeq, a predicted model, not a curated record
AGGAAGAUGUGCAGGCUCUUACUUUUUUUGAAUUGGUGAACCAAAGGUGAAACUCUUUUAGGGAAGUGACAUCACAAAGGAAAGGUCCCAACAGAAUGUUUCUGCUGGUGAAAUCUGAGAAAGUGUCCGUACGUUGCCAAGAAGAAAUGAGAUUUAUUUGAAGGGAUGACUUUACUUCCUGUCAACUGCACCUAAACUGAGGUCAAAACUCAACGUGUCAAAAUAUGCUGACUGAAUACAACGAGCAAGAUAGAUAUCUGUGCACUCUUCUCUUCAGCUCAGGCUUACUUCAACCAGGGUUCUAUAGUUUAAACAAGUGCAUUUAGGAAUUUUUCAAGAUGUUUAAAGCUACCUAUUGGAGGAGAAACAUGCAUUCCUGCAAUUUGAGCCACACAUCACCUCAAGGCUAAAUGUAGAUAAGUUCAAAGGUGAUGUCCACAUGUCAAGUUGUAAGAAUAAAGAAGCAGAUGGAGCAACAUGCAAAUUAAUAGAAUUAGGGAGAUUGAUAAAAAGCUGACAGAAUCACUUGAUUCAUCAGGACAUUGAUGCUAUCUUCGACUGUGAGCAUUGAGUUUCAGGAUGUAAGAGGAGGAGGAUUCAGUCAGGAAACAGAAAACAAACAUUGCAUCAGGGUCUGAGAGAGCUGGUCAACGUACUUGCAAUUAGAAUAUCAUAGGAUUGUGAACAUGCAAGGAACAAGUACCAUUCACAGAGUAGGAGAACUGUACACGUGUAAUGUCUGUGGAUGAGAUUUCAGCCAAUCAUCUGGUCUGUUGAGACACAAGUGCAGUUACAACUGGGAGAGACAGUGAACAUGUGGGGACUGUGGGAAAGGAUUCAGAUCCACAUCAGAGCUGGAAACACUGGAUUCAGCAGGUGAUAAACUAUGGUGAUGUCCAGAGCAGGGACCCCUGGCUGCAGUAUACCUGAAGGGUGGACUUGUGGCAAGGUUCUCUUUGCUGUACUUGGAGUAGGGACUCCUUGAAGACCGGGAAACCUUGCAGAGUCACUGGAGUUGUGUUUGAAGACCCUUUAUACAGAGGAUGAGCUCCAUUUUUUUUGUUGUUUUUGCAACUUAAAAUGACACCAGAUUGUGGUGAAUAGACACUUUUCAUUGUAUCUUUCUGUAUGUAUAUGUGACAAUGAAUA